RNAcentral lists this long non-coding RNA (628 nucleotides) under Mytilus galloprovincialis (Mediterranean mussel). Lineage: Eukaryota; Metazoa; Mollusca; Bivalvia; Mytilida; Mytilidae. The record is from RNAcentral.
UGUAGUCUAAACAUUGCCCAAUAGCAUGAAUAGUAUUCUAUAUUUGUUCAUUUGUAUUAUACCUUUUUCAGAUUGUAUUUGUUUAUUCAAUUUGUAUAUUCUCUUUUUGCAUUCUGUAGUUGUUCAUUAUAACAUUUCCAUCAAUAUUCUUAGGACUUAUGAUGGUAUUCUUAUGUAUGAUGUAGCUCAAUUAUGGUGGUUUUUACUUGAGUGUUAUAGUGUUACCUGCUAAAAUGUGAUUCUCAUGUAUGAUGUUAUAGCUAAAAUAUGGUGCUUUUUGCUCAACAUGCUCAUUUUUUGUAGGCCAUUAGUUUUUUCUUUUGAAUUGUUUUUCAUUUGUCAUUUCAGGGUCUUUUAUAGCUGACUAUGCUGUAAGGGCAUUGCUCAUUGUUGAAGGCCAUACAGUGACCUAUAGUUGUUAAUUUCUGUGUCAUUUGGUCUCUUGUGGCAAGUAUACCACCUCUUCUUUCUGGUGGUCUAGCAUAUGUUUGUUUUGCUUCAGCUUUAAAUGUUGUCAUGUUUAACCUUAUCGUCUGUAACAGCUAUCACAUAUAUAUGACAUAAGGGGAAAAGUACAAGUAUAUAACUAAAUAACACCUUAAGAGGUCAAUUGACAAUUUCAUCAAAU